CCCAGCAGAUUCCUGCAUCAUGCUCCUACGCCACUCAUCACAGGGGAAGAAGCACUCAGAGGAGCAGAAGGAAGAAUGAGUCAGUCCCAUGGAGCAUCGUGGGAGGAGAGCAGGUGAGUCUGGAGAUGUGGGCCACGCCACUGGCUGUCGCAACCACAGCGUCGGACCCAAGAAACUGCUCGCCCAUGGGGUGCCUCAGUGGUCCCACCGCUAAAGAGAGAGAAAUCACAAGUAAGCAGAGAGGCAGAUAGAGAGA
Molecule: long non-coding RNA, 256 nt
Organism: Lutra lutra (Eurasian river otter)
Lineage: Eukaryota; Metazoa; Chordata; Mammalia; Carnivora; Mustelidae
Exons: 3
Source: RefSeq, a predicted model, not a curated record